Molecule: ribosomal RNA, 47 nt
Filed under: Monosporascus cannonballus
Lineage: Eukaryota; Fungi; Ascomycota; Sordariomycetes; Xylariales
Description: partial 18S ribosomal RNA
Source: RNAcentral
AGUAAAAGUCGUAACAAGGUCUCCGUUGGUGAACCAGCGGAGGGAUC